This 61-nucleotide transfer RNA is filed under the name Rhadinosa nigrocyanea. RNAcentral describes it as "tRNA-Tyr". The record is from RNAcentral. Lineage: Eukaryota; Metazoa; Arthropoda; Insecta; Coleoptera; Chrysomelidae.
GGUAGAAUGGCUGAGUUAGGCGGUAAAUUGUAAAUUUAUUUAUGAAUUAUAUUCUUCUAUC